GACGAACGCUGGCGGCGUGCCUAAUACAUGCAAGUUGAGCGCUGAAGGUUGGUACUUGUACCAACUGGAUGAGCAGCGAACGGGUGAGUAACGCGUGGGGAAUCUGCCUUUGAGCGGGGGACAACAUUUGGAAACGAAUGCUAAUACCGCAUAAAAACUUUAAACACAAGUCUUAAGUUUGAAAGAUGCAAUUGCAUCACUCAAAGAUGAUCCCGCGUUGUAUUAGCUAGUUGGUGAGGUAAAGGCUCACCAAGGCGAUGAUACAUAGCCGACCUGAGAGGGUGAUCGGCCACAUUGGGACUGAGACACGGCCCAAACUCCUACGGGAGGCAGCAGUAGGGAAUCUUCGGCAAUGGACGAAAGUCUGACCGAGCAACGCCGCGUGAGUGAAGAAGGGUUUCGGAUCGUAAAACUCUGUUGGUAGAGAAGAACGUUGGUGAGAGUGGAAAGCUCAUCAAGUGACGGUAACUACCCAGAAAGGGACGGCUAACUACGUG
RNAcentral lists this ribosomal RNA (497 nucleotides) under uncultured bacterium. Its description in RNAcentral is "partial 16S ribosomal RNA". It matches the Rfam family "Bacterial small subunit ribosomal RNA", at positions 28 to 507 of the family's 1533-position model. The record is from RNAcentral.